Molecule: long non-coding RNA, 359 nt
Organism: Egretta garzetta (little egret)
Lineage: Eukaryota; Metazoa; Chordata; Aves; Pelecaniformes; Ardeidae
Exons: 3
Source: RefSeq, a predicted model, not a curated record
AAAGGGAUUUGAUUUUGGGUGAAAACAACCAAUGAACUGAAUUGUAUAAUGUUAAUUGCUGUAUAAUACAGUGUGUCAUCAUUUUUACUAUUGCUGUAUGUCCUAUCAAUGGUAUAACAGUAAGAAUCACCCAGAUUAAGAAGAAUGAAUGUUGAAGAAACUGAGGAAGUGCAGUGGAUGGAACCAGAACUGACUUCAGUAUGCAACAACCCAACACCAGACCCCAUCUCUCCUGCCCUGAAAGACUGUUACAACAGAUGGAGCCCAAAACCAUGGACUAGAUGAACCCAAUGGACAUUUCAGAGGGAUGGCCCAUAGACUAAGGGAAUGAUAUCUGUGUUGUGCAGCAGACAAGAGGA